This 630-nucleotide ribosomal RNA is filed under the name Ralstonia solanacearum. RNAcentral's name for it is "bacterial SSU rRNA". It matches the Rfam family "Bacterial small subunit ribosomal RNA", at positions 29 to 650 of the family's 1533-position model. The record is from RNAcentral. Lineage: Bacteria; Pseudomonadati; Pseudomonadota; Betaproteobacteria; Burkholderiales; Burkholderiaceae.
UAGAACGCUGGCGGCAUGCCUUACACAUGCAAGUCGAACGGCAGCGGGGGUAGCUUGCUACCUGCCGGCGAGUGGCGAACGGGUGAGUAAUACAUCGGAACGUGCCCUGUAGUGGGGGAUAACUAGUCGAAAGACUGGCUAAUACCGCAUACGACCUGAGGGUGAAAGUGGGGGACCGCAAGGCCUCAUGCUAUAGGAGCGGCCGAUGUCUGAUUAGCUAGUUGGUGGGGUAAAGGCCUACCAAGGCGACGAUCAGUAGCUGGUCUGAGAGGACGAUCAGCCACACUGGGACUGAGACACGGCCCAGACUCCUACGGGAGGCAGCAGUGGGGAAUUUUGGACAAUGGGGGCAACCCUGAUCCAGCAAUGCCGCGUGUGUGAAGAAGGCCUUCGGGUUGUAAAGCACUUUUGUCCGGAAAGAAAUCGCUUCGGUUAAUACCUGGAGUGGAUGACGGUACCGGAAGAAUAAGGACCGGCUAACUACGUGCCAGCAGCCGCGGUAAUACGUAGGGUCCAAGCGUUAAUCGGAAUUACUGGGCGUAAAGCGUGCGCAGGCGGUUGUGCAAGACCGAUGUGAAAUCCCCGGGCUUAACCUGGGAAUUGCAUUGGUGACUGCACGGCUAGAGUGUG